This is a non-coding RNA of Momordica charantia (bitter melon), 2936 nucleotides long. Lineage: Eukaryota; Viridiplantae; Streptophyta; Magnoliopsida; Cucurbitales; Cucurbitaceae. The record is from RefSeq and is a predicted model, not a curated record.
UUGAGAUCGGUGGAAGACGAUGGAGCAGCGGGCGGAGGAGGAGUCGAUAAGAGCAGCCUCGGAGGAGCUCUCUCGUGAGUUCAAAACUUUGAUGAGCACUGAUGAUUUGAGUUCUCUCAACCAUUUGCAGCACCUCAUAUUGGGGAGAUUGCAGGAUAGCAACGCAGUCCUCUCUCAUUUUAACGAGUUUUCGGAGCAUUGCUUUGCUGAGGUGUCUGGAGAUCUAUCUAGAAAUACUCGUCUUUUAAAGUCUAUGAAAUCUGACCUUGAUUACAUAUUUCAGAAAAUUAGGAGCAUGAAAUCAAGAAUUUUGGCUACUUACCCUGAUGCAUUUCCAGAUGAGUCAACGAGUGAAGCUCUUGACAGGAGACCAGACCUUGAAAUGCCUCAGUAACGACAGAAAGUAUGACUCCAAGUUAUCGUACCUGAUACCACAAUGGGAAUCAAAAAACGUAGAUACAUCAUUUUCCAGAGUUGUUUCAAUCAUGUUGUCAUUAUUAACUAGGUACGAAGUCUAAUUUGGACAAAUUUGUUUAUAUUGUGUUGUUACCUUCACAUUUUACCUCAAUACUGGUGUUCCAAGUAAAUUGAUGUACACAGAGUAGUAUCAUUAUGAGAAGUCCUGAUGAAAUAUAGAUAAAAGCACAUUUGCCCUCCGCUCAGUUUCUCAUUUGCUAUCUUAAUUCAUUCUAGCUUCUAUUGCCCCUAUAUUUUACCAGCAUACAUAUUCUUAUUAUGAAAUCAGAAACCUAAUCUAGGACAGCUACUCUUCUAUCACUUGUGGUUGCUAUAAUAAUUAGUUUUCAUAUCCUUUUGGUAGCUAGCCAUUCUUUUAAUGCCAUUACCUUUUUUCGUCAUUAGAGACCAGUCAUUUUAUAGUUGACAAUUCGACGCAUAUGACAACUGGGAAUCUAAAUGGAGAUUCUGAAAAUGAACAUGAGGUUGAUAACCACUUUUCUUACUGCCAAAUAUCCUGCAUCUUCACAUGACACCCAAUUAGAUGAGAGGGAUUUUUUUAAUGUCCAGCUAGGAUUAGUCACUUCUGGCCUCUGGGUGAUAUUUAUGCAGGUCAAAUAGGUUUUAAGAAAUGAGUGAAAUAGGUGUAAGUCAGUAGUGAGUUGGAAAGGAAUACUGUGAUUGUAGAUGCUCCAAGUUUUCUAGCUUCUAACACGUAGUAUUUUGCUAAAUAAUCAAAUCAAUACACGGAAAGAUAGGUGACAUUGCAGAGGAAAAUGCGCAUAUGAAACAGUGAGACACUGCUUUAGAGAUUAGCCCUAGUAGUAAUAUGAGUGUUUUUUUCACUUAUGGAAUUCAGUCAUGCCAAAAUGGGAGUUUCAAGAGAUCGGGACGUGGUCUUUUAAGUGUCUAUUUAGUGUUAUGCUUAUGGAAUUUAGAUUAUCACUGAUAUCAUUAUAAAAAAAUGUUGAUGCGACAUGUCUUCAGGUAUUUUUUUUCGUAAAUUUAUCUAUUAGACAUGCUACAUCAACAUUCUGUUAACGAUCAAAUAGAAUAGAUUUCGUUCUAAGGUCAUAAGGACAAGAUUAAAUAGAUGUAUAACAAAGUUAGAAAGGGAUGAAAGUAGCUAAGGAAACUUUUGAAAUACUUGUGCUGGUAACUGAGACCAAAAGGGUGGUUUUGUUUGACUAGCUGACAAGUAACCAAAAAAUCCUUCCUCCUGGCACGUGACUCCCACCCUCUCUUCCACAUGCAAAUUCAUUGUGAGCAAACUACGAUUCUCACGACCUUCUCUGUCAUGCAGAAAAAGAACACAACAAAACUACGAAAUAUGGAAAAUCACCUACUUUUCCCCUCAAUCACCACCGUACAUUUCCCUCUCCCUUCUCCUCUCCUCAACCGUCCGAUCCCCAUCACCACACCCUGAUACUUCCCUCUCUUCCUUUCAAGUACAAAAUCAAACCAAAUUCCCAAAAUCACAUCUUUAGAACAGAGAGAGAGAGAUGAAGGAAGGAGUUGAAGUUGAAGUUUGUGGAGGUGGGUCGGCCGGAAAAAGAGUCGGGUCGGGUUCUGUCGGCGGCGGAGGAGUGAGAAGUGAGACUGAGAAAGAGAAGACAAAGAUGAGAGAACGGCAAAGACGAGCCAUCACCACUAAUAUCUUCCAUGGCCUUAGAAAGCACGGCGGCUACCGCCUCUCCCCAAGAGCUGAUAUCAAUGAAGUCCUCCGUGAGCUCGCCAAGGAGGCCGGCUGGAUCGUCCACCCCGACGGCACCACCUACCGGUCCGCCGCUUCAUCGAUUCUGAACAGAUGUUCAGUUUGUGGAAGUGUGAGGAGCUCCACUCCGACGCCGACGAGUAGCGUGGUGGUCGGUGACGCUGCCGGCGGCGGCGGGGAGAGCUCCACUCCGGCCUCCCCCUGGCGCCUCCCUGUUUCUGUGAGAGACUACGCCAUGGUAAUCAACGACAGUGCCAUUCAGCCGGCGACUCCGUUCUACGUCUCCGGCCUCGGUGGCAGUGCUUCUGCUUGCUCCUCGUCUCGGAAUCUGACCAGCAGCGGGAGCAUUAAUGGUGGCGUUCCUAUGGCUCUGAACGUGUACGGAGGACAAGGAGUCCGUCGCUGUAUCUCUGACUCAGCCGCCAACGGCGGCGGCGGCGGCGGCGACGACAAGGACGCGAUGUACGAACAGUUGCAGGAAGCGAGGGCAGCCAAUCAGAGUACGCCGGAGAGAUGUCCUCGGCCUCGCUCGUAGUUCUUUUCUGUUUUACCAUUUUGCCCUCUAGGUUUUGCGCUUGUUACGACCUUUCGGGAGACUCUUUUGGGAAAUAGGUUAGAAAAUUAGCAAAAUUGAAAUACGAAUUAGGUUAAUUAGAAUUUAAAAGACAAAAGACCCAGAAAAUAGAAAAGACAUUUAAUUUUGUAUUAACAAAUGCCAAAAUAUUGUUUGGUAAGAGAAUGGAAUUGUUAGGGCGGUUGAUGACCA